Molecule: ribosomal RNA, 529 nt
Filed under: uncultured bacterium
Lineage: Bacteria
Description: partial 16S ribosomal RNA
Rfam family: Bacterial small subunit ribosomal RNA
Source: RNAcentral
UAGGGAAUCUUCCACAAUGGACGCAAGUCUGAUGGAGCAACGCCGCGUGAGUGAAGAAGGUUUUCGGACCGUAAAGCUCUGUUGUUGGUGAAGAAGGAUAGAGGUAGUAACUGGCCUUUAUUUGACGGUAAUCAACCAGAAAGUCACGGCUAACUACGUGCCAGCAGCCGCGGUAAUACGUAGGUGGCAAGCGUUGUCCGGAUUUAUUGGGCGUAAAGCGAGCGCAGGCGGAAGAAUAAGUCUGAUGUGAAAGCCCUCGGCUUAACCGAGGAAUUGCAUCGGAAACUGUUUUCUUGAGUGCAGAAGAGGAGAGUAGAACUCCAUGUGUAGCGGUGGAAUGCGUAGAUAUAUGGAAGAAUACCAGUGGCGAAGGCGGCUCUCUGGUCUGCAACUGACGCUGAGGCUCGAAAGCAUGGGUAGCGAACAGGAUUAGAUACCCUGGUAGUCCAUGCCGUAAACGAUGAGUGCUAAGUGUUGGGAGGCUUCCGCCUCUCAGUGCUGCAGCUAACGCAUUAAGCACUCCGCCUGG